UGGGGAAUUUUGGACAAUGGGGGCAACCCUGAUCCAGCCAUUCCGCGUGAGUGAAGAAGGCCUUCGGGUUGUAAAGCUCUUUUGUCCGGAACGAAACGGUGAGCGUGAAUAUCGCUCGCUACUGACGGUACCGGAAGAAUAAGCACCGGCUAACUACGUGCCAGCAGCCGCGGUAAUACGUAGGGUGCGAGCGUUAAUCGGAAUUACUGGGCGUAAAGCGUGCGCAGGCGGUUUUGUAAGCCAGAUGUGAAAUCCCCGGGCUUAACCUGGGAAUGGCAUUUGGGACUGCAAGGCUGGAGUUUGGCAGAGGAGACUGGAAUUCCCGGUGUAGCAGUGAAAUGCGUAGAUAUCGGGAGGAAUACCGAUGGCGAAGGCAGGUCUCUGGGCUAUAACUGACGCUCAUGCACGAAAGCGUGGGGAGCAAACAGGAUUAGAUACCCUGGUAGUCCACGCCCUAAACGAUGUCGACUGGUUGUUGGGGGUUUGACACUCUCAGUAACG
RNAcentral lists this ribosomal RNA (501 nucleotides) under uncultured Pseudomonadota bacterium. RNAcentral's name for it is "bacterial SSU rRNA". It matches the Rfam family "Bacterial small subunit ribosomal RNA", at positions 355 to 848 of the family's 1533-position model. Lineage: Bacteria; Pseudomonadati; Pseudomonadota. The record is from RNAcentral.